This 492-nucleotide ribosomal RNA is filed under the name uncultured bacterium. Its description in RNAcentral is "partial 16S ribosomal RNA". It matches the Rfam family "Bacterial small subunit ribosomal RNA", at positions 29 to 507 of the family's 1533-position model. The record is from RNAcentral.
AGUGAACGCUGGCGGUAGGCCUAACACAUGCAAGUCGAACGGCAGCACAGUAAGAGCUUGCUCUUACGGGUGGCGAGUGGCGGACGGGUGAGGAAUACAUCGGAAUCUACUUUUUCGUGGGGGAUAACGUAGGGAAACUUACGCUAAUACCGCAUACGACCUACGGGUGAAAGCAGGGGAUCUUCGGACCUUGCGCGAUUGAAUGAGCCGAUGUCGGAUUAGCUAGUUGGCGGGGUAAAGGCCCACCAAGGCGACGAUCCGUAGCUGGUCUGAGAGGAUGAUCAGACACACUGGAACUGGGACACGGUCCAGACUCCUACGGGAGGCAGCAGUGGGGAAUAUUGGACAAUGGGCGCAAGCCUGAUCCAGCCAUACCGCGUGGGUGAAGAAGGCCUUCGGGUUGUAAAGCCCUUUUGUUGGGAAAGAAAAGCAGCAGGUUAAUACCCCGCUGUUCUGACGGUACCCAAAGAAUAAGCACCGGCUAACUUCGUG